GAGUUUGAUCAUGGCUCAGGAUGAACGCUGGCGGCGUGCUUAACACAUGCAAGUCGAACGAACCUUCGGGUUAGUGGCGGACGGGUGAGUAACGCGUGAGAAUCUGCCCUCAGGAGGGGGACAACAGCUGGAAACGGCUGCUAAUACCCCAUAUGCCGCGAGGUGAAAUGAAUUUCGCCUGAGGAUGAGCUCGCGUCUGAUUAGCUAGUUGGUGUAGGUAAUGGCUCACCAAGGCAUCGAUCAGUAGCUGGUCUGAGAGGAUGAUCAGCCACACUGGGGCUGAGACACGGCCCAGACUCCUACGGGAGGCAGCAGUGGGGAAUUUUCCGCAAUGGGCGAAAGCCUGACGGAGCAACGCCGCGUGAGGGAUGAAGGCCUCUGGGCUGUAAACCUCUUUUAUCAAGGAAGAAGAUCUGACGGUACUUGAUGAAUAAGCCACGGCUAAUUCCGUGCCAGCAGCCGCGGUAAUACGGGAGUGGCAAGCGUUAUCCGGAAUUAUUGGGCGUAAAGCGUCCGCAGGCGGCCCUUCAAGUCUGCUGUUAAAAAGUGGAGCUUAACUCCAUCAUGGCAGUGGAAACUGUUGGGCUUGAGUGUGGUAGGGGCAGAGGGAAUUCCCGGUGUAGCGGUGAAAUGCGUAGAUAUCGGGAAGAACACCAGUGGCGAAGGCGCUCUGCUGGGCCAUCACUGACGCUCAUGGACGAAAGCCAGGGGAGCGAAAGGGAUUAGAUACCCCUGUAGUCCUGGCCGUAAACGAUGAACACUAGGUGUCGGGGGAAUCGACCCCCUCGGUGUCGUAGCCAACGCGUUAAGUGUUCCGCCUGGGGAGUACGCACGCAAGUGUGAAACUCAAAGGAAUUGACGGGGGCCCGCACAAGCGGUGGAGUAUGUGGUUUAAUUCGAUGCAACGCGAAGAACCUUACCAGGGUUUGACAUCCUGCGAAUCUCUUGGAAACAGGAGAGUGCCUUCGGGAACGCAGUGACAGGUGGUGCAUGGCUGUCGUCAGCUCGUGUCGUGAGAUGUUGGGUUAAGUCCCGCAACGAGCGCAACCCACGUCUUUAGUUGCCAGCAUUUAGUUGGGCACUCUAGAGAGACUGCCGGUGAUAGACCGGAGGAAGGUGUGGAUGACGUCAAGUCAUCAUGCCCCUUACAUCCUGGGCUACACACGUACUACAAUGCUACGGACAAAGGGCAGCAAGUUCGCGAGGACAAGCAAAUCCCAUAAACCGUGGCUCAGUUCAGAUCGUAGGCUGCAACUCGCCUACGUGAAGGCGGAAUCGCUAGUAAUCGCAGGUCAGCAUACUGCGGUGAAUACGU
Molecule: ribosomal RNA, 1315 nt
Filed under: unidentified marine bacterioplankton
Lineage: Bacteria
Description: bacterial SSU rRNA
Rfam family: Bacterial small subunit ribosomal RNA
Source: RNAcentral